AUUGAACGCUGGCGGCAUGCUUUACACAUGCAAGUCGAACGGUAACAGGGAGCUUGCUCCGCUGAUGAGUGGCGAACGGGUGAGUAAUGCAUCGGAACGUACCCAGUCGUGGGGGAUAACGUAGCGAAAGUUACGCUAAUACCGCAUACGCCCUGAGGGGGAAAUGGGGGGACCCGCAAGGCCUCACGCUAUACGAGCGGCCGAUGUCGGAUUAGCUAGUUGGUAGGGUAAAGGCCUACCAAGGCGACGAUCCGUAGCUGGUUUGAGAGGACGACCAGCCACACUGGGACUGAGACACGGCCCAGACUCCUACGGGAGGCAGCA
Molecule: ribosomal RNA, 324 nt
Filed under: uncultured bacterium
Lineage: Bacteria
Description: bacterial SSU rRNA
Rfam family: Bacterial small subunit ribosomal RNA
Source: RNAcentral